RNAcentral lists this ribosomal RNA (432 nucleotides) under uncultured bacterium. RNAcentral describes it as "partial 16S ribosomal RNA". It matches the Rfam family "Bacterial small subunit ribosomal RNA", at positions 29 to 507 of the family's 1533-position model. The record is from RNAcentral.
ACGCACGCUGGCGGCAUGCCUCACACAUGCAAGUCGCACGAGACCUUCGGGUCUAGUGGCGCACGGGUGCGUAACGCGUGGGAACCUGCCCUUAGGUUCGGAAUAACUCCCCGAAAGGGGUGCUAAUACCGGAUAAUGUCUUCGGACCAAAGAUUUAUCGCCUUUGGAUGGGCCCGCGUUGGAUUAGCUAGUUGGUAGGGUAAAAGCCUACCAAGGCGACGAUCCAUAGCUGGUCUGAGAGGAUGAUCAGCCACACUGGGACUGAGACACGGCCCAGACUCCUCGGGGGGGCAGCGGUGGGGAUUUUUGAAAAAGGGCCGAAAGCCGAACCCAGCAUUGCCGCGGGAGUAAGAAGGCCGUUGGGUUUGUAAACCUUUUUCCCCGGGGAGGAAAAGCACAGCCCGGGGAAAAUACCCCCCGGCUACCCCGGUC